GUGCUCACUUCGGCAGCACAUACAUGAAAAGUGGAACAACACAGAGAAGAUUAGCAUGGCCCCUGCACAGGAAUGACAUGCAAAUUCAUGAAGCAUCCCACAUUUAA
Echinops telfairi (small Madagascar hedgehog) is the source of this 107-nucleotide small nuclear RNA. The record is from Ensembl. NCBI's taxonomy places the organism in Eukaryota, Metazoa, Chordata, Mammalia, Afrosoricida, Tenrecidae.